UCUCCGUUGGUGAACCAGCGGAGGGAUCAUUACCGAGUGCAAACUCAUAACCCUUUGUGAACCUAUAUCUGUUGCUUCGGCGGCUCGCUCUCGGGCGAGCCCGCCGGUAAUAUCAGUAUCUCUGUUUGAACCCGACGAUACUUCUGAGUGUUCUUAGCGAACAGUUAAAACUUUUAACAACGGAUCUCUUGGCUCUAGCAUCAAUGAAGAACGCAGC
This 217-nucleotide unclassified non-coding RNA is filed under the name plant metagenome. RNAcentral describes it as "partial contains small subunit ribosomal RNA, internal transcribed spacer 1, and 5.8S ribosomal RNA". The stretch from base 169 to 217 matches the Rfam family "5.8S ribosomal RNA", at positions 1 to 49 of the family's 154-position model. The record is from RNAcentral.